UAUGAGGAAGUGACAUCAAGUUAUAAACGAAAUUACUUAAAUUUUUAAAACAAUAUUCAUUUAAACCAUUUUUAAGAUAACUGACCUUUUGCCAAAAUUCUGAUAUGUCCAUUAUUUCCCUAAGAUUAUGAUCAUUAGAAAAUCUUAGCAUUUUCCACUCCAUGACCAAAUCUUCUGGAUCACCCUGAACCAAGUAAGAAAAACUGUUCAUUAAAGGUAAUAGUGGCACAUCAGAAUCCGACAAAACACUUCUCGGAGUUAUUAUAGACAAGUUUUUUAAAUCAUUAUUACUCAGAUCAAAUCUUAGUAGCAAUUGUUUUAAAAGUUCUAAAUAAAAAUUCAAAGCGUUUGUUUUUAUCUCAUUCCUAUCAAAAUUUGAGAGGUUUGAUUUUUUGAUAUAAUCCUCGGCUUUGCUUCCCAGAAAAACAUCUGUAAUAGAUUUUCCCAUUGAAUUCGCUAAAUCGUAUGAUUUUAUUCCGCUAAUUUCCAAAUAGCACGAAAGAAAAUAUAAUUGAAGUGCGUCCCACUGUUCCACCACUCGAUUUAUAACGUUUUCUAAGGAGAGCCAUCUUGUCAACGAAAUACCUAAUAUUUUGUGCGGUGGUACUGCACCAUAGUCUUGAAAUUCUUUAAAGUUAUUGAUACGAUUAGCACUGCAUAGGCAGAGCAUAGAUGCAACGAAUGACAAGUGCAUUUAAGAAAAAACGUAUUGGAGUUGCUCUUAAGCUUGGCUUGCAGACCAUUCACCUCACCGGCCAUAACACUUGCACCGUCAGUUGACAGUCCAAUUAAAUUUUCAAAUGGAAUAUCAUUUUCAGAAACAAAUGUCUUAAUGCUGUUGUAAAUGGUUUCAGCGUCACAUUUUAUAAGUUCAAUCAAACCCAAAAAUCUAUCUUUAAUAAUUUUGGAAUUCUUAUCGACAUACCUUAUAACUAAAACUAAAGACUUUCUGGUUGAAAUAUCAGUCGUCUCGUCUGUUAUCAAGGAAAAUUUAGUAGUUUGCAGCUCUGAAACUAUUUUCUGCUUCGCUUUUGUUCCUAGCGUCUCUGCAAGUUGAGUUGCUUUCGUUCGUCCGCACUUGAUUGAUUUUGCAAUUUCCGAAUCGGGACAGCAUUCUUUUAGCAGAUUUGGUAAAAAAUCCAUUAAUAAAAAUGGGAGAUUGUGAGUUAUUAAAAAAUGGACGAGCGUGAGCUCAGCCCAAUAAACUUUUUUUUCAAAACUCGACUUGUCCCGCUGCAAGCACGAAUCAAUUUGUAUUUGAUUUCUUUUUUUUCCAUGUUUUUGAUAUGGCUUUCUUUUCUUUCGUGUUGUUUUAAGUGACCUAAAUGGUUGGUUAAAAUUUUGUCACAAGCAGCACAAAAGCUUUUGUCAGCUUUAUGGUUAAGCCAAUUGAAUUUUUGUAGCCAUUCCUGUCUAAAUUUUCUCUCCGCUUCGUGUUUUUUUUGGUCCACAUUUUGAUCACUAAGAAAUUAUACAUAGGUAAUUGUAAUUUCAUGAAACCUUAUAAUAAAGUGAAAAAUACCAAUUGCUUGAAGAUGACGGCUCAUCUGCAUUUGUGGAACUUUCUACUGCCGACUCAGUCCUUGGCUUUUUAAUAACAAACCUAGAUGUUAUUUAAGUUUUACAGAUAUGACGAGAUAAUUAUUAUUUAAAAUAUUAUUACUUACCUAUCCAUUACUUAUUUGUUGGAAAAAACGAGAAAGAGCUGCACACAAAGUACUUUAC
Molecule: long non-coding RNA, 1725 nt
Organism: Eupeodes corollae
Lineage: Eukaryota; Metazoa; Arthropoda; Insecta; Diptera; Syrphidae
Exons: 3
Source: RefSeq, a predicted model, not a curated record